RNAcentral lists this non-coding RNA (271 nucleotides) under Candidatus Aminicenantes bacterium RBG_13_64_14. Its description in RNAcentral is "partial 16S ribosomal RNA". It matches the Rfam family "Bacterial small subunit ribosomal RNA", at positions 1 to 272 of the family's 1533-position model. The record is from RNAcentral. Lineage: Bacteria; Candidatus Aminicenantota.
UAAUUGAAGAGUUUGAUCCUGGCUCAGAGCGAACGCUGGCGGCGUGCUUAACACAUGCAAGUCAAACGGAUCCGGGGGGCAACUCCUGGGUUAGUGGCGAACGGGUGAGUAACACGUGGGUAAUCUUCCCCCGAGUGAGGAAUAAGUCUGCGAAAGCGGGUCUAAUACCGCAUGAUACUUCGGGACAUAAGUCCUCGGAGUCAAAGCCGUAAGGCGCUUGGGGAUGAGCCUGCGUCCUAUUAGCUAGUUGGUAGGGUAAUGGCCUACCAAG